AGUUACGUUUCAGUGCUCUGCUCUAGUUUCAGUGCUCUAGUUCUUGUGCUCGUUAAGUCUAAUAAAUAGUUCACUUUUUCACUCACUCCUACAGUUGCUCUACUUGUUUUCUUACGCUGACGCUCGACAGCUCUAGUGAAACUCUAUACUCCUCGGUACAUCUCUAUACUCCCCCGUAUAGGAAUGUCAGAGAGCAGCUCAUCUCGC
RNAcentral lists this long non-coding RNA (207 nucleotides) under Musa acuminata (dwarf banana). Its description in RNAcentral is "long non-coding RNA (MACU_LNC011034)". Lineage: Eukaryota; Viridiplantae; Streptophyta; Magnoliopsida; Zingiberales; Musaceae. The record is from RNAcentral.